AAGACUAUACUUUCAGGGGUCAUUUCUAGAGUUCGUUACUAGAGAAGUCUCUCUGAGCACCGGAAACCACUAGGAGGAGGCACAGCGUUCUCUCCUGAGCGUGAAGCCGGCUCUUGGGGUUGCUUUAGUGCAAUUGCCAUUUGCCAUUGAUUUGAUGAUCAUUCUUCUCUUCCUUUGGGGGAGUUAAGAGGGAGAGAAUGCAGUAAAAAAAG
Molecule: small nucleolar RNA, 212 nt
Organism: Otolemur garnettii (small-eared galago)
Lineage: Eukaryota; Metazoa; Chordata; Mammalia; Primates; Galagidae
Gene: U3
Rfam family: Small nucleolar RNA U3
About the family: Small nucleolar RNAs (snoRNAs) are involved in the processing and modification of rRNA in the nucleolus. There are two main classes of snoRNAs: the box C/D class, and the box H/ACA class.
Source: Ensembl